GACGAACGCUGGCGGCGUGCCUAAUACAUGCAAGUCGAACGCAUUUGCGAACAGGUGAGUAACGCGUAGGUAACUGCCCCCUAGCGGGGGGUAACUAAUUUAAACGAUAGCUAAUACCCCACACUGUGAGAUGUAACUGCGUUGGAUUAUCUAGUUUGUGAGGUAAAGGCCCACCAAGGCGACGAUACAUAGCCGGUCUGAGAGGGUGAUCGGCCACACUGGGACUGAGACACGGCCCAGACUCCUACGGGAGGCAGCAGUAGGGAAUCUUCGGAAAUGGACGGAAGUCUGACCGAGCAACGCCGCGUGAGUGAAGAAGGUUUUCGGGUCGUAAAGCUCUGUUGAUCGGGAAGCGGUAACUGAACAGAAAGGGACGGCUAACUACGUGCCAGCAGCCGCGGUAAUUC
RNAcentral lists this ribosomal RNA (407 nucleotides) under uncultured bacterium. RNAcentral describes it as "partial 16S ribosomal RNA". It matches the Rfam family "Bacterial small subunit ribosomal RNA", at positions 28 to 526 of the family's 1533-position model. The record is from RNAcentral.